UUACGCCGAGGCUCUGAAGUGGGUAAUUGCAGACCAAAGCUAGGCUGGAAGGCUAUAUUUGAGAUGGUCAUUAGCGUUGUGGUCUGUUUAGCGUUAUGAAGCCUACCUUGACUCCCAGAUGUUCACUGUGAAUCUUGUUGGUGCUGGUAUCACUGUACCUCUCAAAUAGCUUCCCCAUUUUGACGAAGAAUGAAGAGGUUCUUGGAUAAAGAACUUGUAAAAAUCAGCCUUCUGCCCCAGAGUCUUCUCCAAAGAUACAGGAGCUUGCUGGACCCACUUGCAAGGGAAGCCUGGAAGUUGGGGAGUUAAUGCCAUCACGACACUCUCAACCAGUGAAUCAUGAGCUAACUUCUGACUCAUGUGUAGUUGAAGCUUAUCCUUCAAGGACGGUCACCCUCCUACCAGCCACCUAGACUGGGAAACUGGAUAACCUUCCAGACAAAGCCCUCUCAUGCCCAGAAAAGGCCCUGCUGUGCUGUUCCUUUGAUGGUUAGAAGGUUUGCCCAUCCGGCAAACAUAGCAGCUUUGCCUCCCUUGCCCAAAGAGAAGUUCUGUAAAUGCUUGUCCUGAAUUUUAAAAACCAACAUGUUUUCCUCACUAUUAGCCAUCUAAGAGGUAGUCUUACUAAAUUUUUGUUAUGUUUGCCUAGUUCUCUGUCUACUUAGAUAAACCUGAAUCAGUGUUAUCUUUAUUAGACCGUGUAUUCUUGAAAAUCAAAGAUUUCCAUUUUUUCCACUGGAAAAAUUCUAAUUACAUCAUAAAGGCACAAAAACAUAAUGCUGAUGCUGAUGCUGAUCAUAAAUACUCAGACUAUUAUAAUGUCUUUGUCUCAGUAAAAUUCUUUUGGUCCUGUGAUUCCAUCUCAUUUUAAAGACAAUUUAAUGCACAAUUAAUCUUUGUCCCCUGCAUUUCUCGAACCACUUCUUUGUGUGUGCUAAUUUGUCAAGCAAAACUUUAACCAACACCUCUUGGAAAUUUAGAAUAGAGAAUUUUGAGGCAGUCAUUUGAUUUUCUUGGCAUUUACUUCCUUAAAGAAGUCAAAAAAUUAUCGAAGCAUGACUUUUUCAUUCCAGAGACUGCAUUGGCUAUCCUUAAUCAAGCUGUGCUUUUCUCAGUGUUCCCCAUUUAAUCUCCUAAAAUACUUCCUAAGACGUUGCCCCCUACAAUGGAAUCAAAACUAAAUGGUCUGUAAUUUCCUCAAGUGUUCCCAGAUCCUGUUGUAAAUAAUGACAUUGUGCUGGCCACUUUCCAGUCUGAAUGAAGUGACCUUGUAAAAAUGUCUGCUUACUCUUCUAUAACGUCUUUUUCUACUUUCUGUAGGGCUCUUGGAUAGAGCUUGGCAAACAAUACCUAUUCCAAGAAACACCAUUCUUCACCUCAGUGAUGUUAUUUCCUUCAUAUAGGCAGUACUGUAUCCAGAGCUAAAAGACUUUUGCUUAAAAGUUAAUUAGUAUUU
Molecule: long non-coding RNA, 1456 nt
Organism: Cercocebus atys (sooty mangabey)
Lineage: Eukaryota; Metazoa; Chordata; Mammalia; Primates; Cercopithecidae
Exons: 4
Source: RefSeq, a predicted model, not a curated record